GUGCCAGCAGCCGCGGUAAUACGUAGGGGGCAAGCGUUGUCCGGAAUUAUUGGGCGUAAAGCGCGCGCAGGCGGUAGAUUAAGUCUGAUGUGAAAGACCAGGGCUCAACCCUGGGAGGUCAUUGGAAACUGGUUCACUUGGGUGCAGGAGAGGAGAGUGGAAUUCCACGUGUAGCGGUGAAAUGCGUAGAGAUGUGGAGGAACACCAGUGGCGAAGGCGGCUCUCUGGCCUGCAACUGACGCUGAGGCGCGAAAGCGUGGGGAGCAAACAGGAUUAGAUACCCUGGUAGUCC
RNAcentral lists this ribosomal RNA (292 nucleotides) under uncultured bacterium. RNAcentral describes it as "partial 16S ribosomal RNA". It matches the Rfam family "Bacterial small subunit ribosomal RNA", at positions 505 to 796 of the family's 1533-position model. The record is from RNAcentral.